This 253-nucleotide ribosomal RNA is filed under the name uncultured bacterium. RNAcentral describes it as "partial 16S ribosomal RNA". It matches the Rfam family "Bacterial small subunit ribosomal RNA", at positions 524 to 776 of the family's 1533-position model. The record is from RNAcentral.
UACGAAGGGGGCUAGCGUUGUUCGGAAUCACUGGGCGUAAAGGGCGCGUAGGCGGCCUGAUAAGUCGGGGGUGAAAGCCUGUGGCUCAACCACAGAAUUGCCUUCGAUACUGUCGGGCUUGAGACCGGAAGAGGUAAGUGGAACUGCGAGUGUAGAGGUGAAAUGCGCAGAUAUCAGGAGGAACACCAAUUGCGAAGGCAGCUCGCUGGGACGUAACUGACGCUGAGACGCGAAAGCGUGGGGAGCAAACAGG